This 28-nucleotide non-coding RNA is filed under the name Homo sapiens (human). The record is from RNAcentral. Lineage: Eukaryota; Metazoa; Chordata; Mammalia; Primates; Hominidae.
UGAGAAUUUAUGGUUUGUAGGGCAUGAC